RNAcentral lists this ribosomal RNA (810 nucleotides) under uncultured archaeon. Its description in RNAcentral is "bacterial SSU rRNA". It matches the Rfam family "Archaeal small subunit ribosomal RNA", at positions 69 to 878 of the family's 1478-position model. The record is from RNAcentral.
GUUUUUGAUGUGGCGCAUAGCUCCGUAACACGUGGCCAAACUCCCUUUCGGAGGAGCACGACCUCGGGAAACUGAGGCUAAUUCUCCAUACGACACUCAGCCUGGAAUGGUGGGUGUCCGAAAUGCUUCCGCGCCGAAGGAUGUGGCUGCGGCCGAUUAGGUAGACGGUGGGGUAACGGCCCACCGUGCCGAUAAUCGGUACGGGUUGUGAGAGCAAGAGCCCGGAGACGGAAUCUGAGACAAGAUUCCGGGCCCUACGGGGCGCAGCAGGCGCGAAACCUUUACACUGCACGUCAGUGCGAUAAGGGGAUCCCGAGUGCGCAGGCAUAGAGCCUGCGCUUUUCUGAACUGUAGGGAGGUUCAGGAAGAAGAGCUGGGCAAGACCGGUGCCAGCCGCCGCGGUAAUACCGGCAGCUCGAGUGAUGGCCGAUCUUAUUGGGCCUAAAGCGUCCGUAGCUGGCCUGGCAAGUCCGUCGGGAAAUCCACCCGCUCAACGGGUGGGCGUCCGGCGGAAACUGCGAGGCUUGGGACCGGGAGGCUUGAAGGGUACGUCCGGGGUAGGAGUGAAAUCCCGUAAUCCUGGACGGACCACCGAUGGGGAAACCACUUCAAGAGAACGGAUCCGACAGUGAGGGACGAAAGCUAGGGUCUCGAACCGGAUUAGAUACCCGGGUAGUCCUAGCUGUAAACGAUGCCUGUUAGGUGUGACUCCCACUACGAGUGGGUGUUGUGCCGUAGGGAAGCCGCUAAACAGGCCGCCUGGGAAGUUCCUCUGCAAGGAUGAAACUUAAAGGAAUUUGGGGGGGAGCA